This 69-nucleotide transfer RNA is filed under the name Anaplecta sp. 4 ZQW-2020. RNAcentral describes it as "tRNA-Gln". It matches the Rfam family "tRNA". Rfam says of the family: Transfer RNA (tRNA) molecules are approximately 80 nucleotides in length. The record is from RNAcentral. Lineage: Eukaryota; Metazoa; Arthropoda; Insecta; Blattodea; Anaplectidae.
UAUAUUUUGGUGUAAGGUGCACAGGAGUUUUUGAUUCUCUAAGUAUUAGUUUAAUUCUAUUAAAUAUAG